Molecule: ribosomal RNA, 478 nt
Filed under: uncultured bacterium
Lineage: Bacteria
Description: partial 16S ribosomal RNA
Rfam family: Bacterial small subunit ribosomal RNA
Source: RNAcentral
GACGAACGCUGGCGGCGUGCUUAACACAUGCAAGUCGAACGGUAAGGCCCUUCGGGGUACACGAGUGGCGAACGGGUGAGUAACACGUGGGUGAUCUGCCCUGCACUUCGGGAUAAGCCUGGGAAACUGGGGCUAAUACCGGAUAGGACUCCGGACUGCAUGGUCUGGGGUGGAAAGCUUUUGCGGUGUGGGAUGGGCCCGCGGCCUAUCAGCUUGUUGGUGGGGUGAUGGCCUACCAAGGCGACGACGGGUAGCCGGCCUGAGAGGGUGACCGGCCACACUGAGACUGAGAUACGGCCCAGACUCCUACGGGAGGCAGCAGUGGGAAAUAUUGCACAAUGGGCGCAAGCCUGAUGCAGCGACGCCGCGUGAGGGAUGACGGCCUUCGGGUUGUAAACCUCUUUCAGCACAGACGAAGCGCAAGUGACGGUAUGUGCAGAAGAAGGACCGGCCAACAACGUGCCAGCCGCCGCCGUAA